UUUGUGCUUCCAAUGAUUAAAGUUUUUGAAUAUUGUUGCGACUAAGUCAUUUUCUCGAUAUUCAAGUCAUUUUCUCAAUAUUCUAUUGAUGACUUACGUCUUAGAUGAAAUAUAAUAUAUACACUACUAUAGCUAAAUUCCAAAACAAUGUCCUUCUUGCUCAAAAAAUUAUGUAAAACUUAUUGAUUCUUUAGUUCCCUGUACUUAAAAGAAUGACCAAUGAGGUUGGGAGCUCCACAUGUUAUUUAGUAAACCAGAAGUCUCUAUUCUUCUCUUACCUUCAAUCAAUUUCUAAACUUCAGACAUGGAAGAUUGUAAAGGGAAUUCGAUUGCCUUGUAGGUUCCAUCUCCAUUAAAGUAUCAGUCAAUGCUUCAUUCGUACAAAAUACUUUUACUGUUUGAAAGCAUCAGCAACUACUUAAAUUGUAAAUUGUUAUAUCGUAUUUACUUUCUUCGUGAUUUCGUAAUGAUUAAAAUUUUAGAGCCCGGGUCAGAGAGAACCUUUCCAACAAUAUAGAUCUGACCGACAGGGCUAUCCAAAGCAAUGUUGCUAAGUUGAAGAAACUAAAGAAUGGGAUGAGAAAUAUAUAGAUCCCUAUCUCUUAAGAUAGGGCAAGGACAUGACUGUUGAAGAUAAAUUAAGAAAUAAGUUGUGUGUUAAAUUCUACACAGAUGCUAAUUCAAUUUACCGCACUUAUUGUGGCUCAUUUAUACAUGGUUUAGCCAUGACUAUAUUAAAAAUACCAACCACACAUAGUAGCUAAUUGAAUCCACAUUGCCAGUUCAGUAUUCCUUGUUGCUAUUGCAUAUUUAAUCUACACAAAAGUAGCAUUGCAAAGAAAAUAUUGUUAGGCUGACUGCACUGCAAUUAAAAAGUUGACUCAUCAUUUGUUGGGGCAUGCAUCGUGUGUAACUAUAUGGUUUUACUGAACUGGCUAGGUUAAUUGUAUAUUUACAUCCUUUCUUUGUUCUUAUUGGUGACAUUACUAAAGUUUUGCACAGUGCCACUUAUCUUUAUUGGGAGGACUUUCACUCAGAUUGUCGGAAGCACCCUAGCUGCACAGGCUGCUGAAUAUCCAUAAUUAUAGCAAACGAGUUGCACGAACCAACUAUGCUGGAUUACAUUGUCGACAAGGUACAAUCCGAUUAUACUGAUAAAUCCACCAUAUCCCUAAGUUGGAGAACUUAUGAACUGUGUUGGAGACAAGGAAGAUAUAAUGGCAAGGUACAGAUGGGCAAGUUCUCCGCAAAUAGCUUUAUCACAUGUACUUGUACCAGUACAUGAUAACAUAGUACCAACUGCAGAGAUUCAGCCGCAGUCUCCUAUACAUCUCUUUCGCAUCGGAGGUAAAAUGUUGCUACCGGCUGCUGACCAAGAGCUUUAUGACUAUUAUGUUCCCACUGCGGGCAACAAUUCAGAACCGCUGUAAGGAGAAUUGUUCAUUGUGCAAGCUGCAACAGACGUGCGAUGUUAAUACCCAGAUUGCAGUGGAACAGUUGUUGCAACCUUAUCAAGCCAAUUAGGAGAGAAAUUUCUUGAAAUUACCUCUGCAAAAAUGUAUGAAAUAAUCUGUGUAAAGGCAUGUUAGUGAGAAUAAGAGACUUUAUUAGUCAUUUCUGAGAAUUCAUUGUACUUUAGAAAAUCAUUCUACCCUUAUUGACAAGCCAUUGAGAUGAAAAGCAUGACAGACUAUAGUCUCGGCUAAAGAGCUUUCACAA
This is a long non-coding RNA of Nicotiana attenuata, 1719 nucleotides long. RefSeq lists it as uncharacterized. The transcript has 5 exons. The record is from RefSeq and is a predicted model, not a curated record. NCBI's taxonomy places the organism in Eukaryota, Viridiplantae, Streptophyta, Magnoliopsida, Solanales, Solanaceae.